Molecule: transfer RNA, 70 nt
Filed under: Bos taurus (domestic cattle)
Lineage: Eukaryota; Metazoa; Chordata; Mammalia; Artiodactyla; Bovidae
Also listed under: 5 other names
Rfam family: tRNA
About the family: Transfer RNA (tRNA) molecules are approximately 80 nucleotides in length. Their secondary structure includes four short double-helical elements and three loops (D, anti-codon, and T loops).
Source: Rfam by way of RNAcentral
ACACAGUUACUUAGAGGUAAAGAAUCUGCCUGCCAAGCAGGAGACUCGGGUUCAAUCCCUGGGUUGGGUA